RNAcentral lists this signal recognition particle RNA (294 nucleotides) under Aotus nancymaae (Ma's night monkey). RNAcentral's name for it is "Metazoan signal recognition particle RNA (ENSANAG00000001201.1)". It matches the Rfam family "Metazoan signal recognition particle RNA". From Rfam's summary of the family: The signal recognition particle (SRP) is a universally conserved ribonucleoprotein. The record is from RNAcentral. Lineage: Eukaryota; Metazoa; Chordata; Mammalia; Primates; Aotidae.
GCUGGGUGUUGUGGAGCACACCUGCAGUCCAGCCAACUCGGGAGGCUGAGGCGGGAGGAUCCCAGGAGUUCUGGGCUGCAGUGUGCUAUGCCAAUCAGGUGUUCACACUAAGUUAGGCAUCAAGAUGGUGGCCUUCUGGGAGCAGGGGACCACCAGGUUGACUAAGAAGGAGUGAACCAUCCCUGCUGGAAACGGAGCAGGUCAAAACUCCCAUGCCGAUCAGCAGUGGGAUCAAUCACACCUGUGAAUAGCCACUGAACUCCAGCCUGGCCAACACAGCGAGACCCCAUCUCU